This is a transfer RNA of Blastocystis sp., 73 nucleotides long. It matches the Rfam family "tRNA". From Rfam's summary of the family: Transfer RNA (tRNA) molecules are approximately 80 nucleotides in length. NCBI's taxonomy places the organism in Eukaryota, Bigyra, Opalinata, Blastocystidae. The record is from Rfam.
GCCUCAAUAGCUCAGUUGGUAGAGCAUCCGCUUCGUAAGCGGCAGGUCGUGUGUUCGAAUCCCACUUGGGGCU